Molecule: long non-coding RNA, 5045 nt
Organism: Spinacia oleracea (spinach)
Lineage: Eukaryota; Viridiplantae; Streptophyta; Magnoliopsida; Caryophyllales; Amaranthaceae
Exons: 6
Source: RefSeq, a predicted model, not a curated record
AUCCUUCGAUUUUACGGAGUGUGCCCUUACCCUACUGCUCGUAUCCAUCUACACGCCUCUGCUUAGAUUAGGAACUGUGUUUUCCCUUUCCCCCUUUCUGGUAAACUCAUCUCCUCUCCUAUGGCUUUGGUAGCUCAACUGAUCCUUUGUUCCUACUUUUCUUCUUCGUAUUCGCUCCAUUUACCCAAUCUAUCCAGGUAUAAUACCUUUGAACAUCAAGAACACCCAUUAGAUUUGUCCUCGGUUUUCAUUUCUCCGAUCAAGGCGUUUCGUCAGCCUCCGCCUCUACUCCUCUGUCUUGAAUCCGGCAUCAAUACCUUACAUCUGGUUUCCCUCUAUCUCAAACUCUUCUUUCUCAUACUUUCGUUGAUUUAGGGUUCCUCAUUUCACAAGUUUUGAGAAACAACCAUCGCAAUUCUUCAAAACACACAGAAUUCGCAGAAACCCUAAAUUAGCCCCUUCAUCAAUAUCCCAUCUUCUUCCUAAACCCUAAAUAACCAGGUUUUCAAUUCAUCAGGCUUCUCUGCAUACGAAAAGUGAGACAGAAAGAGGAUUGAAGCUGAUAUAAUUGGAGCUUGUUAUUUUGUCAAGUUUAUACGAAAUUGAAGGUUUACUCUUCAAAAUCUGGAUCUCAGUAGGGAGCAAUGUCGUCGUCCUCAACCUUGUAUAUGUGUUUGUGUAUAGGGUUUGUGGUUUACCGCGUCCGUGUGAGAAAAGGUGGUCGCAAGAGGCAUGUACCCAAGGGUGUUGAGGCUGAGGACUUCUUGGUUUUUUUGUAAGAAUUUGGGGGUUGUUGAGGCUGAGGACAACUAGCAGCAAAUGAUAAAUAAAAUUAUAGUGGCUAUAUACUCAUCAUCCUCAAAUGGGAAAAAUAAUUCCACAGGAUUUGGAAAUGAAUACUUGAAAAUGAAGGAUGAAAAGUCAAAAGAGGAGAAGUCUUUUCGUCAACAAUACAAAAGUGUAUUAGGUACCAAAACCACUGAAGAGACCGGAAAACUUGGCUUCAUGGGAGCCUAGCCAUGGUAAGUUCAAAUUUCGUCAACCAUGGAAACAAUACCUUAAGGUUGGAGCCUUAACUCGAAUGUGUGCCUACAGAGCUGAUGCUCUUAGCAACUACCUUAACUCCGACGUCCUACAACAGAUUCUGGUGGAGUCUUUUGGUUAGAGUAGAUUGGUCGGAGGUUGUUGGGUGUACUCAAAGUGCUCCUGGAGAUGGAAUUGGUAUGGAAUUAUACCUUUUCUAAAAGUGCCAAAUUAAUAUUUAUCCUUAAACUAUUCUUCUUUGUUAUUCAAUUUGAUCAUGGAAGGUGAGAGGGAAAAAGUAGAAUAUAUUUGUGAGUUGUUAUUCAUUAUGUGGAUAAUUACUGAAGGCUUAGUCACCUGACAGAUACCUUGUUUGAUACGUAGUAUUUGCUCACUUCAGAAACCUUGGAUUUUUUUUCCAACUCCCUAAACUCCUCGUAAACAGGUAUCCAAUCCUGUAUUUAGGUAUCUGAAAGGCAAUCCAAUUCAUGUUCCUCUUAAACAAUAGUAGUAUUUUUUAGCUAAAGGAUUUUGGUUAGUUAGUCGGUUUUUCAUUGUUCCUGGGAAUAGUCCUAUGUCUUAAAAAGCUAAGAAGCAGACCACAAUGGCCCUUUAUUGUGUUGAUACUGAGUAUUUAGUGAUGAGAUGGUGAUAAACUAAGUCAAGUGACAAUGAAGCUUGCACGGGUUACUUGGUUGUUCGAUGAGUUGAAAGUGGCAAAAAAAGUUUCAAUUCAUCUGAAAUCCUUUCGUAUGUCUGUCGGGUUACCAGGUUGUUAGAUGAGUUGACAGUGGCCAAAAAAGUUUCAAUUCAUCUGAAAUUUGAUAGUUAAGCUUAAGCCUCCUUCUGUAUUGCUAAAAUUCCAGUAUCUCCUUCCGUACGUCUCUUAUCAACGAGGCUAGCAAACAGGCGACCUACACCUUAUGCUUCCUGACAAGUCGUAUUAUCUAGAUGAAGCUAACUGAGCCUGAUCUCAUAUUCAAUUACAUUUAACUUAGCUUUUUGUUGGUUAAUUUAGCAAAGGUUGUUGAGAAAAGGUCGGCAUGGGGUUCUUUUUGAAAUAUGAAGUGCCCUGACGACGGUGUAAAAGUUGUAUUUACUAUUGAUGGGAGUUAGAGAAUCCUCUGGACUUCCCUGAGUAUUGGCAAUUGAAAGUUGUCUUUCUUUUUAUGCACGGUCUUACAACCCAAAGUUGCUAGAAACCAAAAAAAGGUUGUUUUACCUUAGACGUGAUUGAGGUCAGGGUUGUUUUACAUCUUUGUACAUGAAAAACUGACUAAACUUCAUAUUCUUUGAACUAGACUUUAGAAUGAAUAAUAUAUUUCUAACCUACUAACUCUGUAUGCUAAUGUACUGAAACCCUCCUAAGAGAGGUCGAUCACUUACCUACUAACAAACCACAAGUAAUUGAAAGUUAAACAAUUUCUGAAACCUCUAAAUCAAGAGACUCAUACCUCGAUAACCUCCCUGUCAUAAGAUUUUGUCCAUUUUCCAGCAAUCAGAGCUUGACUCGUAGCAAUCUGAACUUUUAAGUCUUGUAACAACAUUUUCAGCUUUAGUGCUCAUCUGAAGAAAAAUUUAGUCAUCAUAUUAGCUUUAGGAAUACAAUGGCAGAAGAAUUAGAUGGAUAAUAUCAAUAUCCCCAGCAUUCACAUACUUUAUCAACAUUUAUAAACAUGAAAAGCAAUGAGAAUAAAGAAAAUGAUCCAAUUAUCCAAAGUAAUCAUCAAAACCAAAUUCUCCUUAGGAAUUUUUUCAACAAGUACUUGAAUUAGUAGGUUCGAAAUACACAGACCCUACAGUUUCAGUAAACUGACUUACUCACACUCUUUAAUUUUGUUGCGAGUACUUGAAUUGUGCACUGAUACCAUAAUUGAGUAUAAAUGGCAUUGUACUGGUUGAUUGGUUUAGAACUCUUUUAAACUUCGUCUAAUUUUGACGUGUAGUUGGUGGAUAAGGUAUGGUAAGCGGGUGUGUGAUUUCUCUUAUCACUAAUAGUGCAUACUUAAUUUGCAUACCUAAUUAUGUCAUUGCUAAUGGUUCAUUUUCUGGCCAUUUCCUUCUUGUAUCUCCAAAUUUAUUCUUCAUAUUUGAUAAAAUCAUACGAAGGUAAUAUUAUAUAGACAUCUUUAGUUAACCCUGUCAGGCUGUCACCAUUACUACUAUACACACCACUUGUGCUGUAAAAAAAUAAAGUAAACUAUACACACUGCUGGCUUCAAAAUAGAGCUUGAUGUUGUGAAACAGAUCAAGGUCAUGGCCUUCACUUGUAGCUUUAGAAUGAGAAAGUCUUAGUAACCUUGAAUUAGGCACCUGUUGGUGUUUAGUUUUUCUGCAGCUUUGGAUGUCUGUUCCUUCUGUUCUGGCCUUUGGUCUGCUUCUUUAUGUUUUGGCAUGUGGUCUGGCUUGUUGGUUUAGCUGCUGCUACUUUCUGGAGGUUGAAUACAGGUUGCAUCCGUGGGCUUCUCUGCUGAAGUGCUGAUACUUGCUGUUGUGCAGGCUGUUUGCAGACUUCUUCUGUACAGUUUGUUUCUUUGUGUUUUCUGUUGCUGUGUAUUCUCUGCUGGAUGGUUUAUGCAGUUGCUGCUUGUGUUGCUGCUUUGUGUGGCCUCUGCUGUAAUCUGUUGCCCUGUCUGAUGCUCGUUUGUUUUAAAGUUGGUUGUCUUCUUCUUUUUUUGUUUGUGUAUGUCAGUUAGGGAUGGAGUAAGUUAGGAAUGCGGGUUGUUCUCCCUUAGCCGAGGUCUUUGUUUCUAUGUUUUGGAUAUUACUUGUAUUUCGUCAUUUUGGUACUAAAUUUUCUCUAUUUUAUCCAUAAAAAUACAGCUUGAGUUCAUUGUUUCCAUUUCUAAUUAUGUUCUUUUAGCAUUUUGAAAGAUAUUAUAUAUUUUCUUUUAUAACCUCAUUGUGUUAAUGCUAUUUUUACUUUUGUAAUUCCAGAAAGAAAUCAAAAUAUGAGGAAAUGAACUUCAUCUUCCUUUUCCACAACAUCAAGGAGAUCUUUCUCUGUAAACUAAUCAGGAACUAUCAUGAUGUAUCCCCUCUCUUUAUUAUCUUUUUUGCUUCAUUUGCAUUUAAUUUAUAUAUGAACUUAUUCCUGUUUUUUCUUUCAUUGAUUUGCAUGUUUGGAUGUUCGAUGUUGCAUGUUUCUUUCUUUUUUCUUGAAUUAAUCAGUGUUGGAGUAUGGCUCGCCACCAUGAUCUAAUAUGUUUGAAAUCAAGGGAGGUUUGACUAUUAUAAUAAGCAUCAGGGGUAGUAGCAAGCUUUACAAAGUUUUGCGUCAGAAUGAGACAGAAUAUUUGGGUCUGUUAUCCUGGAACUGGUUUCCGGGUUUGUCUUUUAUAUUAUUCUUUACUAACAUUGUAGAUUCAUAUGCAUUUCUAUAGCUUUAUUUAUCUCAUAUUUCCCCGAUUUUUUUUUACCAAGCACUGUUUAUUUUAUCUCGACGCAUGUUAUUGUCAAUUAGGUCUUAUGGUUUGUGACCAGCCAUGAGUGACGAGAUUCUCACAGUUGCUAAAAGUUUGUGAUGCUUAAAUUAUGUUGUACACAUUUUGUUUUGUACUGAGAAUUGAGAAUUAUAUGGUGAUUAUUUCAAUUUCAGUAACUUCUCUUGAGUUAUGUUUAUUAUGCAAUUGUUCAACUUGGCUUGCAGGUUGUAGCAGCUAUGACAAAAGUCCGAGAAUUAGGAGAAUAUGGCAAAUCCAGUGGCGAGGGUUUCUGCUCAAGUUUGGUGCAUUGAGAAAUGGGGUUCUUUAACAGAAUCUAGAAAAAUACAGGGGUUCAAGAUGAAGAUUUAGUUUCUUUUGUGAAAAAAUGGCAGAAGGCAGGGGCUUCUCUAUUUGGCGAUUGUUGUAGAACUACACCAAAGACGAUAAAUGACAUUUACACGACUCUCUCAGAGCAUUAAGUGCCUCCGGGUUAACAAGUCAUUCACACUUUUGUCUUGUAAAUGACUAAUUAGGAAAUAUGAUCUAUGCUUGUGUAUUGUUGUUGUCUUAAUUAAUUAUACAAAUUUGUUUACUGAA